AUUGAACGCUGGCGGCAGGCCUAACACAUGCAAGUCGAACGGUAACAGGAAGAAGCUUGCUUCUUUGCUGACGAGUGGCGGACGGGUGAGUAAUGUCUGGGAAGCUGCCUGAUGGAGGGGGAUAACUACUGGAAACGGUAGCUAAUACCGCAUAACGUCGCAAGACCAAAGAGGGGGACCUUCGGGCCUCUUGCCAUCGGAUGUGCCCAGAUGGGAUUAGCUAGUAGGUGGGGUAACGGCUCACCUAGGCGACGAUCCCUAGCUGGUCUGAGAGGAUGACCAGCCACACUGGAACUGAGACACGGUCCAGACUCCUACGGGAGGCAGCAGUGGGGAAUAUUGCACAAUGGGCGCAAGCCUGAUGCAGCCAUGCCGCGUGUAUGAAGAAGGCCUUCGGGUUGUAAAGUACUUUCAGCGGGGAGGAAGGGAGUAAAGUUAAUACCUUUGCUCAUUGACGUUACCCGCAGAAGAAGCACCGGCUAACUCCGUGCCAGCAGCCGCGGUAAUACGGAGGGUGCAAGCGUUAAUCGGAAUUACUGGGCGUAAAGCGCACGCGGGCGGUUUGUUAAGUCAGAUGUGAAAUCCCCGGGCUCAACCUGGGAACUGCAUCUGAUACUGGCAAGCUUGAGUCUCGUAGAGGGGGGUAGAAUUCCAGGUGUAGCGGUGAAAUGCGUAGAGAUCUGGAGGAAUACCGGUGGCGAAGGCGGCCCCCUGGACGAAGACUGACGCUCAGGUGCGAAAGCGUGGGGAGCAAACAGGAU
RNAcentral lists this ribosomal RNA (761 nucleotides) under uncultured Pseudomonadota bacterium. RNAcentral describes it as "bacterial SSU rRNA". It matches the Rfam family "Bacterial small subunit ribosomal RNA", at positions 28 to 778 of the family's 1533-position model. Lineage: Bacteria; Pseudomonadati; Pseudomonadota. The record is from RNAcentral.